Molecule: non-coding RNA, 635 nt
Filed under: Pongo abelii (Sumatran orangutan)
Lineage: Eukaryota; Metazoa; Chordata; Mammalia; Primates; Hominidae
Source: RNAcentral
CAAAGAUUUACUAUUAAAAAUCCUGGGGAUGAGGUCUUAACACAGAAAACCCAUCUGUCAUCGCUACAGAGGACUACUAUGAAGAAAGCACCUGGCAUAAUCUUGGCACAUCGAAGGCAUUCAAAAAAUACCAGUCAUCUCUCUUCACUCCCUCUAACUCUAACUUACUUUAACCUCAUUUAAACUUUGAGGAAAAAGAACUCAAGGUCAGACAAGGCUUGGUUCAACACUCUGAGCUGGGUUGGCUGGACAGGACUAGCACUAGACCUGACCCAGAAGUAAAGGCAAUUGUGGGAAGAGCAGACGUACCUGGGAAGAAAUCUAGAAGCCAGCAAGCAGAACACCAAAGCUUGCCACUGGGCAACAGAGAACUGGUCCAACAAAGCUGUCACCAUCAGAAAUGUGUGUCACCAGGUCAGAGAAACAGGAAAUCAAGGAAAGACAGAAGAGAAAAAAAGAAAAAAGAAAGGAGAAACGUGGGUUUUGCUGCAAAGAAAUACCAAAAUUAUUUCAAAUCAGUCAAAGUGAAUCAUCUGUCUACCAACAUGCCUCAUUUUUCAUUGUCUAUAGUGGUGUCCACAGCUAGCUGACACUUCACAUGAAGACUGAAGAAGAAUAAAUUUCAUUUUAAAUAC